RNAcentral lists this ribosomal RNA (758 nucleotides) under Thespesia beatensis. RNAcentral describes it as "eukaryotic LSU rRNA". The stretch from base 331 to 486 matches the Rfam family "5.8S ribosomal RNA". The record is from RNAcentral. Lineage: Eukaryota; Viridiplantae; Streptophyta; Magnoliopsida; Malvales; Malvaceae.
UCCGUAGGUGAACCUGCGGAAGGAUCAUUGUCGAAACAGGCCCAGCAGAACGACCCGCGAACGCGUUGUAAACAACACCGGAGGUGGUGCGGGUGCAGCCCUGCAUCUCGCCACCCUCCACGUCUCGGAGCGAUCGGUCUUGCCAUCCUUCCGCCCAUCGGGCAGGGUGAGAUGCCAGGUUCAACCUCUCCGAGGCAAAAACGUACAAACCCCCGGCGCGAAUCGCGCCAAGGAACCGAAACGAAAAUAGGGGCACGUCUCCUGUCGUCGCACCGUUCGCGGUGUCGGUGCUUCAGGGAUGUUGUUCUUUUGUCGCGAAAUAUACAGAACGACUCUCGGCAACGGAUAUCUCGGCUCUCGCAUCGAUGAAGAACGUAGCGAAAUGCGAUACUUGGUGUGAAUUGCAGAAUCCCGUGAACCAUCGAGUCUUUGAACGCAAGUUGCGCCCCAAGCCAUUAGGCCGAGGGCACGUCUGCCUGGGUGUCACGCAUCGUCGCCCCCAUCCAACCCCGAGCCCUCGGGCCUGGGUUGAAGUGUGGGCGGAAAUUGGCCUCCCGUGAGCUCACCGCCGGCGGUUGGCCUAAAUACGAAGUCCUCGACGACGGCAUCGUCGCGACGAUCGGUGGUAAUGCUAUCGGCUGCCUCGUUCGGAGUCGUGCACGUCGGUCGAUCGAGACCCCAGACCCGACCCUUUCGGCAUCGCGAGGACGGUGCUCGCAUCGCGACCCCAGGUCAGGCGGGAUUACCCGCUGAGUUUA